UGGGGAAUAUUGCACAAUGGGGGAAACCCUGAUGCAGCGACGCCGCGUGGGUGAAGAAGUAUUUCGGUAUGUAAAGCCCUAUCAGCAGGGAAGAAAAAAAUGACGGUACCUGACUAAGAAGCACCGGCUAAAUACGUGCC
This 140-nucleotide ribosomal RNA is filed under the name uncultured bacterium. Its description in RNAcentral is "partial 16S ribosomal RNA". It matches the Rfam family "Bacterial small subunit ribosomal RNA", at positions 355 to 509 of the family's 1533-position model. The record is from RNAcentral.